RNAcentral lists this ribosomal RNA (436 nucleotides) under uncultured bacterium. RNAcentral describes it as "bacterial SSU rRNA". It matches the Rfam family "Bacterial small subunit ribosomal RNA", at positions 366 to 793 of the family's 1533-position model. The record is from RNAcentral.
GCACAAUGGGCGCAAGCCUGAUGCAGCCAUGCCGCGUGUAUGAAGAAGGACCUUCGGGUUGUAAAGUACUUUCAGCAGUGAGGAAGGUGGGUAUGUUAAUAGCAUAUUCAUUUGACGUUAGCUGCAGAAGAAGCACCGGCUAACUCCGUGCCAGCAGCCGCGGUAAUACGGAGGGUGCGAGCGUUAAUCGGAAUUACUGGGCGUAAAGCGCAUGCAGGUGGUUUGUUAAGUCAGAUGUGAAAGCCCGGGGCUCAACCUCGGAAUUGCAUUUGAAAACUGGCAAACUAGAGUACUGUAGAGGGGGUAGAAUUUCAGGUGUAGCGGUGAAAUGCGUAGAGAUCUGAAGGAAUACCGGUGGCGAAGGCGGCCCCCUGGACAGAUACUGACACUCAGAUGCGAAAGCGUGGGGAGCAAACAGGAUUAGAUACCCUGGUAG